UUCUUAUUGGAUGAUAACUGUCACGUGUCAUGUUCGGAUUGGUCAAUGAAAACAAUUGAGGCAGUUAUCAUCCAAUAAGAACAUGACACGUGGCAAUUAUCAUCC
Molecule: non-coding RNA, 105 nt
Organism: Glycine soja
Lineage: Eukaryota; Viridiplantae; Streptophyta; Magnoliopsida; Fabales; Fabaceae
Source: Rfam